RNAcentral lists this ribosomal RNA (614 nucleotides) under Klebsiella pneumoniae. RNAcentral's name for it is "bacterial SSU rRNA". It matches the Rfam family "Bacterial small subunit ribosomal RNA", at positions 365 to 969 of the family's 1533-position model. The record is from RNAcentral. Lineage: Bacteria; Pseudomonadati; Pseudomonadota; Gammaproteobacteria; Enterobacterales; Enterobacteriaceae.
UGCACAAUGGGCGCAAGCCUGAUGCAGCCAUGCCGCGUGUGUGAAGAAGGCCUUCGGGUUGUAAAGCACUUUCAGCGGGGAGGAAGGCGUUAAGGUUAAUAACCUUGGCGAUUGACGUUACCCGCAAAAAAAGCACCGGCUAACUCCGUGCCAGCAGCCGCGGUAAUACGGAGGGUGCAAGCGUUAAUCGGAAUUACUGGGCGUAAAGCGCACGCAGGCGGUCUGUCAAGUCGGAUGUGAAAUCCCCGGGCUCAACCUGGGAACUGCAUUCGAAACUGGCAGGCUAGAGUCUUGUAGAGGAUGGGUAGAAUUCCAGGUGUAGCGGUGAAAUGCGUAGAGAUCUGGAGGAAUACCGGUGGCGAAGGCGGCCCCCUGGACAAAGACUGACGCUCAGGUGCGAAAGCGUGGGGAGCAACAGGAUUAGAUACCCUGGUAGUCCACGCCGUAAACGAUGUCUAUUUGCCAGGUUGUGCCUUUGAGGCGUGACUGCCGGAGCUAACGCGUUAAAUAGACCGCCUGGGGAGUACGGCCGCAAGGAUUAAAACUCAAAUGAAUUGACGGGGGCCCGCACAAGCGGUGGAGCAUGUGGUUUAAUUCGAUGCAACGCGAGAACC